This 365-nucleotide ribosomal RNA is filed under the name uncultured Glomeromycotina. RNAcentral describes it as "LSU rRNA". The record is from RNAcentral. Lineage: Eukaryota; Fungi; Glomeromycota.
UUGAAAGGGAAACGAUUGAAGUCAGUCGUACCGACGAGAAAUCAGCUUUUCGAAUGUGCAUUUGUGGGCGUAUGAGAUCUUCAUUGUUUCCAAUAUGUAUAUUUCUUUGGUGUACUUUUUCGUAUGGUAGGUCAACGUCGGUUUUGGUCGCCAUAAAAUGAUCGGAGGAAUGUAGCUUCGACCUCGGUUGAAGUGUUAUAGCCUUUGGUAAAUGUGGUGAUUAGGACCGAGGAUUGCAACGAAUACCUUUUAGGCUAUCCGUCUGACCUCUGAAAGUUACUUAGGUGCCGAAAGCUUGCUUACGGUCAUUUAAGUUGCCGGUCAAUAGGUCAGAACGUGACACAUUCGUUAAGGAUGUUGACGUA